GCGCCGUUAGCUCAAUUGGUAGAGCAACUGACUCUUAAUCAGUGGGUUCGGGGUUCGAUUCCCCGGCGGCGUA
This 73-nucleotide transfer RNA is filed under the name Actinoplanes sp. TBRC 11911. It matches the Rfam family "tRNA". From Rfam's summary of the family: Transfer RNA (tRNA) molecules are approximately 80 nucleotides in length. Their secondary structure includes four short double-helical elements and three loops (D, anti-codon, and T loops). The record is from Rfam by way of RNAcentral. Lineage: Bacteria; Bacillati; Actinomycetota; Actinomycetes; Micromonosporales; Micromonosporaceae.